UCAGUUCAAAUAGGGUAACAGAAUAACAUUCUGUUACGCGAAACAGAAUAGCCCAUAUGUGUGUGUGUGUGUGUAUACUAGUACAAAUGCCCGUGCAUUGCACCGGCCGAAAAAUGAAAUAUAACCUAUUCCUGUGCCAUUAUGCAAUAAUUUUUUAAUUCAAUUUUACGGGGACAUUAUCUUCUAGUGCUUUUACACAAAUCACCCUUCUACUUCUUCCUUUACCCACUGUCCCUGUGUCUCCAAUCAAAACACAUUAUCGCAAUCUACCUGCAAAAAAAGGACACUAUCACCAUCAACGAAACAGGUCAUUCAUAACCCUCCCACGUGCACACUUUGAAUUCCAGACACGUACCAUGCCAUCAGCACUCAGCAUCAAGUUUUGACUACCAUCGCUGACAUGUAUGCACCAUACUCGGCACCCUUCCAAUUAGCUCACUCCAUUUUCCAUUCCCUCCUCUCUUUUCUCUUCCUCAUCAGAUCGUGUAAUAGUGCAACUGUAAAUUCCAGUAAACCGCUCCAUCAGCUCACUAAAGUUAUCUAAGUCACUGAACACUGUUCUCUGCAAACCAUUUUGUUUGAAUAUUACUCAAAUCUACAUUCUAAAAUAUGUCUACAUACAUCCGUAUGUAGUCUAUAUUGAAAUAUCUAAAAUUACUUAUAUUUAGGCGGAAGGAGUAGAAAAUAAAAAGCAUGAAAGUGUAUACCAAGUAGUUCCAUAUUUGGUUUCAGAGCACAAAUUUGUAUUCCUGUCAGGAAUUUCAGAACUUAGCUUUUGAGUUUUAUACAAACAGAUUCUCUUGUUGCAGCAGCAGAAUGGUCACUGACAUUGACACGCAAAGAGAAAACUUGAGAAGUGUAAUUGUACUCAAGUGUGGAGCACACAUCAUCAUUAUUCUGAGCUGGUUGAACCUUUGUUUUAGACUAUCUUUUUUCUGGUUUUAUGCCAUGACGCUACUGUUUGCGUCAUUCUGUUAUCUUUUGAUAACCAUAUACACUCUAGGCCAUACCAAAAAAACACAGCAUCAUCAGUUUGGACUAAGAUGAGCAAUACAAAUCUUUCAUGAGAUCGUGUGGUGCUCAAACAAAUGUACAGACAUCAGACAACAACAUUGAGUACUCAUACAGGCAUACACCAUGUGUAACUAUUAACAAAUGGGAGUGUAGUGCUCCAAUUCCUUAAGAAGCAAAGGCUGUAAGUUAUAGAAAGUUGGCAGUGAUUUAGUCCAAGCAUCCAGAAAUGAACUAAAUCAUUAUUAGGUACAUAUAAUGAGAAGAAAAAUAAAAAUUGUAACAGUUAAGUAUUAACAUGAGGGUAUAAAAAUCCAAGAACUAAUAGCUCUCUUGGGCCACUGCCAGAUUAUUAUUUUGUUCUAGAGUAUUUCCAGAUUUGUCGGCACGGCCUUGGGCCAUUAUCAUAUCCUGACCUUGCUGUGUUUAAUGCCUACAUUUAGGUUAUCGUCUAAAAUCUGUCACCAGCAACAAGGCUACAAAAGGCUCUGCAUUGGGGUAUCAUCAAUUUUCACAAGAAAACCUAGAAAAAAUAGAGUUUGUAAACAGAGCAGUCUGUCGAUCAAUGUUCGACAGUGAUCAAGAAUGCAUAGUUAGGAGAGUUCCAAGAGGAAACAGAGUCCUGGAAAUUUGCAAGGCUCUCUGUAGUUUGGGACAGCAAAAACAAAACAUAUGCCUCUCAUAUAAUUUGUUUUGUUCAAUUUAAAAACGUAUCUUCAAUCAUGGAAAUAGAUAAAUUGCCAUAGGCAUACUCCCAAACUAUGUGUGCCUCACAGAAGAGGCUCGACAAGAGUCAAAACAUAUGAACAACGAUGACCGGAGCAUCUGCAUGAUUUUAAUAGAAGGCAUGAGAAUAGAAAGUAUAGCUCUGCAUUUACCUUGCAUUAUGAUGCCACACAAUUAAUACAAAUUAACUGAAUUAAAAAAAUCAAGGCAACAUACUUCUUUCAGUGGUUGUAGCAUACACAUUGGGGUUGGUCUCUAACAGAGCACGUGAACUGAACUAACAAAGUUGAAAUAAGAUGAAGUCAAUUAGCAAAACCAUGUUUUAUCAGGGUGAUAAUAAAGAUACAAAUUUGACCUCAACGAUGAUGUAAGCCCUCACAUAUAUUUUAUGGCAGUUUAGUAUUAUGUUUCCCUUCUGGGAUAAUGGAAGGUUAUCUUGUCCCGGUAUUAUGCAUACAUCUAGUAUGACUCUCAGCCAUGCUUUUCUCAUGAACAGAUUGUUGCUAGAUAAUAUCCAAGUUUAGAAUCUAGAUUUAGAAGAUGAAACAGAGGUAGAAAUAGUAGGAAAUGCUUUUGACAGUUCACACCAACAGAGAUUCAUGUACACCAUGGUUGCUUAUAAACUGAUUCAUACCAUAGUCCACCCAAUUGCAGAUAUAGGAAAAAGAUUGGAAUUGUUGUAACUCGAGUGAUGGUUCAACUGACAUAGACAUACCUUGCCUGGACACUGAGACUGUCGGGAUAGAUGAGAUGAGGGCAGUGACAAAUAUCAAGGAUGUGAACAAUUGCUGCUUGCAAGGCACAUGGAUGGUGGGCGUCGAGAUUGUAGGUCAUGCUUGUGUUCACCUCACAUCACAGUGUUGCACCUUCCUGGAUCAACCUGUAUGACACAUGUGCAAUGCAACACAAAUUGAUAUGACAUGAGAUAGCGGAAAAAAAAAUCAAUCGCUAGUUCAAAAAUCCUAGAAGAAUUCAAGCACAUCACCUACAUCUUUCUUGCCGAUAUUCAUGGUCUUCUCCUGCAACACGCUGAGGUCGUUGACGCUCCACCGCAUAAAUUGUGGGAUGACGAAUAGCGACAUCAUCAUGAAAAAAGACUCCAGGCAACAACAUGGUCGUGGUCAUUCCAUCGGGGGCGUUUCUAAGGACAUGAUAUCACACCAACUGGUACUACACUUUUCGUGAAAAAGUUUGGUAGCACA
Molecule: long non-coding RNA, 2939 nt
Filed under: Triticum aestivum (bread wheat)
Lineage: Eukaryota; Viridiplantae; Streptophyta; Magnoliopsida; Poales; Poaceae
Description: long non-coding RNA (TAES_LNC020013)
Source: RNAcentral